GCGUAGGUGACCUGCCUGGUAGCGGGGGAUAACUAUUGGAAACGAUAGCUAAUACCGCAUAAUAGCAGUUAUUGCAUGAUAACUGUUUGAAAGGUGCAAUUGCACCACUACCAGAUGGACCUGCGUUGUAUUAGCUAGUUGGUGGGGUAACGGCUCACCAAGGCGACGAUACAUAGCCGACCUGAGAGGGUGAUCGGCCACACUGGGACUGAGACACGGCCCAGACUCCUACGGGAGGCAGCAGUAGGGAAUCUUCGGCAAUGGACGGAAGUCUGACCGAGCAACGCCGCGUGAGUGAAGAAGGUUUUCGGAUCGUAAAGCUCUGUUGUAAGAGAAGAACGAGUGUGAGAGUGGAAAGUUCACACUGUGACGGUAUCUUACCAGAAAGGGACGGCUAACUACGUGCCAGCAGCCGCGGUAAUACGUAUGUCCCGAGCGUUGUCCGGAUUUAUUGGGCGUAAAGCGAGCGCAGGCGGUUAGAUAAGUCUGAAAUUAAAGGCUGUGGCUUAACCAUAUUACGCUUUGGAAACUGUUUAACUUGAGUGCAAGAGGGGAGAGUGGAAUUCCAUGUGUAUCGGUGAAAUGCGUAGAUAUAUGGAGGAACACCGGUGGCGAAAACGGCUCUCUGGCUUGUAACUGACGCUGAGGCUCGAAAGCGU
This 659-nucleotide ribosomal RNA is filed under the name Streptococcus oralis subsp. dentisani. Its description in RNAcentral is "partial 16S ribosomal RNA". It matches the Rfam family "Bacterial small subunit ribosomal RNA", at positions 115 to 762 of the family's 1533-position model. Lineage: Bacteria; Bacillati; Bacillota; Bacilli; Lactobacillales; Streptococcaceae. The record is from RNAcentral.